Molecule: long non-coding RNA, 6199 nt
Organism: Capsicum annuum
Lineage: Eukaryota; Viridiplantae; Streptophyta; Magnoliopsida; Solanales; Solanaceae
Exons: 3
Source: RefSeq, a predicted model, not a curated record
AAAAUAAUUCCCUUUGACAAUACUAUUGCCGUAUUUUAUUUUUCUCCAACUCUUUCUCUUCUAUUUCUCCAAUUUCAAAGCUAAAAACCAACAAUUGGUAUCAAAAGCCUAUUUUAUUUCUCUAAUUUCAAAGCUAAAAACCAACAAAGUGCUUCCAAUUAGGAUCUCUUCAUUUCCAUGACAUGAACUCGAGAUUUCUCACUAAAUUAAGAUCUGGUUAACAUUAAUUUAAUCAAGAUGGUGUGCUUAAGAUGCUUAAAAUUGCUUUCACUAAAAAUAUAAGUACCUAAUCAUGCCUAGGCCAAGUAAUAUCUCCUUUACAUCCAAAAGCUAAUUGAUACCAUUUUUUUUUAAAUUUCUUUCAUUUACUAGAUAUUUUAUACCUAGAAAAUACAAUAUCUUAUUUCACAGAAAAAUAUCUAAAAGAAAUAGAAAAAGCUCAUGGUUGGAAGUAGCUACUAAUCCUGACUUAGUGAGUUCUUACUUUCAUUAUGAAUUGUAGGGACAAGUCCUACAUUUUGUCUUUAUGAACCUCCUCAUUCUGAUAUUUGUUUUCCUCAAAUUAUCUAUAGCAUCUCGAAGAUAGAUAUGGAAAUGAUCGUAUCAAUCUGUAGAUUCUACUAGACACUUGCUCUUAUAUUAGUGAGAUUGGUGAACGUAGACGAUCUGAUAUCAAAUUGUCACGAUUUAAAAUUCAAGAUCAUCAUGACAGCUACAUUAACCUAUAGAUAGAUAUCACCUAAAUCAAAUAAUUGAAUCAAUAUGCAGAGAUAUAAAGAUAGCAGAAGUAAAGUCUUUAAGUAAAGCUAUUAUAAAUAUAGAUAGAAGUGGGAAAUAACAAAAUACACUCAUACAAGUGUAUCUAAAGACUAUAUUUGUUUCACUACUGUAAUAAUAUUCUAAUAGUAAAGACAGGAAAACAUAAAGACAGAGAAAGUCAGGUAUCACUUUGAACGCCAAGUAGCUCAUCAAAGCUUUCAAAUAAAGUCGUUUGGGGCAAAGAAUCAACUGAGCUUCCUAUAAUUAGGAUCUGUAUCAAAAGAUGCAGCAAGAGUAGUAUGAGUACGAUAACAUGUGUACUCGGCAGACAUCAUAAGCUAACUGAGCAAGAUUUGAAUAGUUAUAUCAUAGAAAGUAUGAAAUGUAACCAAACCAUAUCAUAUACCUCGAUUCAUUACAUCGGGCAAAUAGGGUGGAAGCUAACCGGAAUCAUCCAAUAAGUAAAUACACAACACCAAGUAAAGGAGACUAUAAAAAAAUACAAUCAACACAUAAUAAUAUGCAAUGGUCCAUGAUCCUAUCGAUAUAAACCUGCUCCAUAAUCCUUGUGAGACCGAUAUACCUCGAAAAAGACCUCGGGUUAGCCAAAAAAGACCUUGACACAAUAAUAACAUCAAAUGAUGGAAUCAAUUAGGUGUUUCCAUCACUUUGCUAUAUUCAUCAUAUUCAAGUUGUGAUCCAUGAAAAUAUGUAUGUAUGAUUACAAUAAUAAAGGAUGUUCAUAUACAACAAAAUAAAUAUAUUUCUUUUCAGAAAUAGUGGUCUUGGGUCAAUAACCUUGUCAAUUAAGAAUAUUGUUUUCAACACAGUGCUCUUAAGCCAAUAAAUCAUCAAAGUAUGAUAUAACACAUGAAACAGAGUGAUGCGACAAUAAAUGAACAAUUUCAGUCAUAUAAUGUCUAUCAGCUAGAUCUCAAAUCAGAUUGCAAAUAGAUGUGUCAUUUUUCUCAAUCAUCAAUCUACCAAUAUGUGCAACUCAUAACACACUUGGUACAAUAAAGGUCUAAAAAUUAAGUCAUAACCUACUUUGAAAGUAGAGCAAACGUGCCACGAACCCUUACAAAAUUGCCUUAUCAACAACAACAACAACAACAACAACAUACCAGUAUAUUCCCACCAAGUGGGAUCUGGGGAGGGUAAGUGUACGCAGUCCAUACCACUACCUCGAAAUGCUAUCAGUCUGUCAAAAUCACUCUAUGUGAGUAUACGAGUCCAUCGACACUCAUAUUGCUAGAUAAUAUUUUGGUUCAAAAAUCGAGUCAAAAAGUCAAUUUGAAGCCUUAGAGGUCAAAUCUAGAAAUUGACUUCAAAAUUAGUUUAUUCAUUAGUCAAAAAGCUUAUGCAUCAAAAAUCAACUAAAUUUGAUCAUGAAUGAAACCUCAAACCAAAAAAAAGGUACCAAGUUCCCCACCCCCCACCCGCCGCUCUCCUAUCCACCCCUAUUUUCACUUUUAAUCUUAUCAUAAAUAAGUAAAUUUCUUUUUUUUUUUCAUUAAUAUUUAGUAUUCGUGUUGAAGUCCGAAUAAUUUGGAUUCAUACAUUGUAAGGCUCAUUUAUGUGGGCGGCACUCCCAAAAGGAUUUUUGUCAUUCUCAAUGCUCAAAUUUGAUACAUCUAAUUCAAUACGGAGGAAUGUUUGUCAUCUCAUCAUAAAUCAUAUUGAUAAUAAAUAAAUUUCAUAAACACAACUAUACUAUAAAGAGAUGCAUAGAGAGAUGACAUCACAUAAACUCUUAAUUUAUUCAAAACUAUUUAAUAGAUAAUUUAAUAUAGAGACGUAACAUUAUAGCAUAUUUCUCCUCACUUCAUAUUAAUUAUUUCAUAUUUUUUAUACAUUUUUCGUUGCUACGAAUGAUUUGAAGAAGAAACCUUCGCAAAGGCCCUAGAAGCCUCAUAAAGGUUGCCAAGUGCUCCAUAAUUUUUUGCCGAUGGAGUUCAGGUGAUUGACCAUGCUUCCACUGGAGUUGAUUGAUCAAAAUAUAAAUAUGAAAAUUUAUGAUCGCUUAAAAUAUCAAAUUUUUAUAUUGGCAUAUGUAUGAGUGACGGUGUUGGUGACGAAAAUGGAUGGCAUAUGUUAUUCGAAGUAUAUUUAUAGUAGUUGCUUGUGCAAAUUCGAUCAGAUUUUGAUUGAUCAUUGAAAAUAACGAGUUCUUGAUCAAUAAAAUUUGUGUUGUAUUCAAAAUUAUUCCGAGAAAGAACUAGUAGUAGAAGAAAAAUGAAGAAUGAAAUCGAAAACACGUUGUCAAGUAAUGGAGUGAUAGAUUUGUUUUUCAUUUCAACAAGAAAGAAAAAAUAAGCUUGUGAUUAAACAUAGAAGUGUAGGCUAAACCUUAAUUUUUAUAGGCACCAGAAAAAAAAAGUAUCUCGAGAAAAAGAUUAUGUCAUUUUCAGACGAGUUAGAUAUUAAUAAUGUGUUAGACCACGCCAUGGAAACUAUCUUAUUUUAAGCAUGUGCGGGUCAAACUAUGGUGAAGGUAAUCAUAGUUUGCUCAACUUCUACUAAUUACAUAUUCCGAAUUAUGACUUCAACUUUUCGAAAAACGACUUAAUUGUAUCUAACUAGCAUAUUACACAUGUAACAAUAUAUAUUCAAAAGAAAAUAUAAGCAACUCACUUUGUAAUAUCUAAUUCGUCUGUAAAUGACAUAAUCUUUUUCUCGAGAUUCUCGUCUUUUCUGGUGCCUCUAUGAAUUAAGGUUUAACCUUCACUUCUGUGUUCAAUCACAAGUUUAGUUUUUCUUCCUUACUAAGAUGAAAAACAAAUCUAUCACUCCUUUUCUUGACAACCCGUUUUCGGUUUCAUUCGUCCUUUUUCUUCUUCUACCAGCUCUUUCUCGUAAUAAUUUUGAAUACAACACAAAUUUUAUUGAUCAAGAACUAAUUAUUUUCAAUAAUCAAUCAAAAUAUGAUCGAAUUUGCACAAGCAACUGCUAUAAAUAUACUUCGAAUAGCAAUAUGCCAUCCAUUUUCGUCACCCAUGCAUAUGCCAAUAUACAAAUCCGAUAUUUCAAGCUAUUAUAAAUUUUCAUCUUUAUAUUUUGAUCAACCAACUCCCGUGGAAGCAUAUCAACAAAUUGAUGGAGCUACUGACAUUGCUUUGUCUUUUCUACUAUAGUAGAAGUGUGGGUAUUGACUGAAGUUUCAAUCCUCAAAUUGAGGGAAGUGAGUUUUUAAAUGAAAGUGGAGAGUUAUCAAAUUUGCCCAUUGAACCUAAAAUGCUAACCAUAGCGUUCUCAUAACCACAUCUAAGAAGCUAUAAGCUUUUCAAGUGUUUGUACCAUAAAAUUUAAUUUGUUUUUGAAGUUUUAAAAAAAGUGAUUGUUGAACUACACAUGCCUAAAUUAUGAUCAACAAAGCAGUAAAAUGUUAUAUACAGUUAAGACGCUUAAGACAUUAGCCAAACUGUCAAUUCUGAUUGCUUCCUUUCAGGUUUUCGUGUAUUCUCCAUGUAUUCAGGCUCCUGAACUUUGAUAAGUACUAUUCUUUUGCUUGCUUUGAUUAUUUUAGUUUAGCUUCUCCAAUUUAUCUGUCUCUUUGUUCGUUUGUUAUUCUUGGAUUCACACGUCUCCUUAUUGACUAUUUUUAAACUCGUGUAUAAAAUUUCAUCGUUCUUCAUCUAAGUUUGCUAUUGCUUCUAAUGGUGUAGAUUUAUUUGAAGAAUGAGGAAAUACGUUUCCAACAUCUUCCUUUAGAAAUUGAAUUUCCAACUGCUGGAUUAUGUUCUGUAACAGGUGACAGUGAAGGUAGAGCAGAAAUGACUGGAAGUACGCGACUAAUGCGUGAGUUCUGUGAUCUCUUUGGUUAUAUCGGAGAAAGCCACAAAGAUCAGAAUCGUAAGUUUCUGGUUCCAAUUGAAUUUUACAGUUCAACACCUUUAUCAAUUCAUAUCUUUUUUCUAAACUCUACACUGAGAGUCUCGAAAAGGCUGUCUUUCUGGUUAUUUUAUCUUUUCAUUUGGUUUACUACGCUUUAGAGACAAAUGUACAUCUAUUGGAGAAAACAAUCGCCUGGCUAUAGAUAUAUUUGAAAAGUAAAUAAGAAAAAUUUUAACCGUAAAAGUACUUAGAAAAUUAGUGAGGAUAAGUUGUUACUCGAUACUCAACUGUUAGACUGUUAGUUCUUGCUUUUAUAAUUUGAAAAUAGUUAUUGUUUUACUUGACUGAAGCAUCUACGAAAAAUAAUUUCUCAAUUUUCACAAGGUAGGGAUAAGAUUGUGUAUGAACCACCCUCACCAAACUCCAUGUGCAGGGAAUUACACUGGAUCUUUUUGUUGUUAAAAUGUACGACUUAAAAAUUAAUUAGUGUUCUUAAGAUUGCUGAAGAAAAAUAAGAAGAGACUGCGUGUGGGAUAGGAUAACGCAUCAACACGUGAUUAGAUGAAGAUUGGAAUUGUAUGAAAAGACUACAUGAAAUGUUACGAAAAUCUGAAUGUGACUUAUCUUCAUUCAGUCUAUAAUUUUUCUCUAAUGAUUCAGAUCAUGACCUUACAUGCACACUUUGCUGAUAAUUCAGUUUCUAACUGCCGAAAUAUAACAGUUGGUGCUUAACUUUUCACAGAAAUUUCUUUGACUUGGAAGUGUCCAGAAUGGCUCUGUUUUUAAUUUAAAUUCUUAUGUUUGGAUUAAUGUGGUUAAAAAAAGGGCAGCCUGUUGCACUAAAGCUCCCGCUAUGCGCAGGGUCCGGGGAAGGGCCCCACCACGAGGGUGUAUUGUAUGCAGCCUUACCUUCCAUUUCUCUGUUUGGAUUAAUGUGGUUGAAUUAUAUAAUUGUGCUUAGCUAUUUGGUACUUCUGAAGAAACAUUACUGAAGGCUUGAAGGAUUCUUCUUUGGAGUUUGGACUUCUUUUUUUAUCGGAUGACUUGUUUGAUCAAGCGAGCAACAAAAUGGCAUAUGCUUUUAUGCAUAUCAUCGGAGCAAUAUAAUUGAUAUAUGCUAGAUUUUCGCAAGAGCUUGCUGGGAAUACUCACCAUGUGGCGCGUUGAGGGAACAAAUACAGUAAUGGUGAGACCGUAAGGUUGUAACAAUUGAUGGAUACCAAAAUGUUCUACUGGAUGAAAGUGUCGUCCUUUGUGUUGUGUUGUUGCUCAACAACCUGUUCGUGUGGGCAUCGACAAAAGCUGCUGAUGGUGUCUACUAACGAAGGAAGACACUUAGGGGUUGUGCCAAGUCAACACGGAUCAAAUAAAAUGAAACAGGGGAGUGCUAUUUGAACGCCCUUCAAUUUGUUGGGUGUUAAAUGCAGAGUGCAACAGUCUCUUUUAAGAUUUGUAUAAAAGUUUGGAAUUUACUUUUUGGAUUUGUAAAAUACAAUGUAUUUUUGUAUUAGUUAUUUGUCAAGCUUGAACUAUACAUAAUUUAUGUGCUUAUGAAAUUGCAACAUGAAAUUAUAAAAAUCAAUGUAAUACUUUUAAAUGUUGGGCC